RNAcentral lists this transfer RNA (70 nucleotides) under Podarcis lilfordi (Lilford's wall lizard). RNAcentral describes it as "tRNA.Lys". The record is from RNAcentral. Lineage: Eukaryota; Metazoa; Chordata; Lepidosauria; Squamata; Lacertidae.
GGAUAAACUCAGUUGGUAGACCAUGAGACUCUUAAUCUCAGGGUUGUGGGUUUGAGCGCUACGUUGGGCA